CUACACAUGCAGUCGAGCGGAUGAAGGGAGCUUGCUCCCGGAUUUAGCGGCGGACGGGUGAGUAAUGCCUAGGAAUCUGCCUGGUAGUGGGGGACAACGACUCGAAAGGGUCGCUAAUACCGCAUACGUCCUACGGGAGAAAGUGGGGGAUCUUCGGACCUCACGCUAUCAGAUGAGCCUAGGUCGGAUUAGCUAGUAGGUGAGGUAAUGGCUCACCUAGGCAACGAUCCGUAACUGGUCUGAGAGGAUGAUCAGUCACACUGGAACUGAGACACGGUCCAGACUCCUACGGGAGGCAGCAGUGGGGAAUAUUGGACAAUGGGCGAAAGCCUGAUCCAGCCAUGCCGCGUGUGUGAAGAAGGUCUUCGGAUUGUAAAGCACUUUAAGUUGGGAGGAAGGGUUGUAGUUUAAUACGCUGCAAUCUUGACGUUACCAACAGAAUAAGCACCGGCUAACUCUGUGCCAG
Molecule: ribosomal RNA, 466 nt
Filed under: bacterium ocnta17lb507onp10.8
Lineage: Bacteria
Description: bacterial SSU rRNA
Rfam family: Bacterial small subunit ribosomal RNA
Source: RNAcentral